This 324-nucleotide ribosomal RNA is filed under the name uncultured eukaryote. RNAcentral's name for it is "partial 18S ribosomal RNA". It matches the Rfam family "Eukaryotic small subunit ribosomal RNA", at positions 1470 to 1796 of the family's 1831-position model. The record is from RNAcentral.
CCCUUAGAUGUCCUGGGCUGCACGCGCGCUACACUGAUGUGUCCAGUAAGCACCUAACCUCUUCCGAAAGGAACGGGUAACCUUUGCAAAGCACAUCGUGAUGGGGAUAGAUUAUUGCAAUUAUUAGUCUUGAACGAGAAAUUCCUAGUAAGCACAAGUCAUCAGCUUGUGUUGAUUACGUCCCUGCCCUUUGUACACACCGCCCGUCGCUCCUACCGAUUGAAUGUUCCGGUGAGCUCUUCGGACUGCGCGGUCUGCAGUUUCUGCGUUCCGUGCGGAAAGUUGCGCAAACCUUAACAUUUAGAGGAAGGAGAAGUCGUAACA